GCAAGUCGAACGAGAAACUACCUUCGGGUAGUGGACAGUGGCAGACGGGUGAGUAACGCGUGGCAACCUACCUUUCAGUACGGGACAACAGUUGGAAACGACUGCUAAUACCGUAUACGUCCUCCGGGAGAAAGAUUUAUCGCUGAUAGAUGGGGCCGCGUUAGAUUAGCUUGUUGGUGAGGUAAUGGCUCACCAAGGCGACGAUCUAUAGCUGGUUUGAGAGAACGAAC
This 230-nucleotide ribosomal RNA is filed under the name uncultured bacterium. RNAcentral's name for it is "partial 16S ribosomal RNA". It matches the Rfam family "Bacterial small subunit ribosomal RNA", at positions 57 to 305 of the family's 1533-position model. The record is from RNAcentral.